AGAAAAGACCGAUUGUAUCAACCAGUGACUCCACCCAUAUGUCCCCCUCCUUGGAACCCUCACACCCUGGGGAGGAGGGAAAACUAAUUAACAUUUCUUAAAACUCCAAUACUCUGGCCACCUGAUGCGAAGAGUUGACUC
Long non-coding RNA from Cervus elaphus (red deer), 141 nucleotides. RefSeq lists it as uncharacterized. NCBI's taxonomy places the organism in Eukaryota, Metazoa, Chordata, Mammalia, Artiodactyla, Cervidae. The record is from RefSeq and is a predicted model, not a curated record. The transcript has 3 exons.